AUGCACUGGAAGGGAGAGACAAGCACUGUUGCAUUAUUUCACUGGCAGUGCCCCUGUUCAACCCCAGAGGCCAAGGGAGGAAAGAAGAGGCCGAGAAUGCUCCCUCCUAACCCAGGAACAGACUGGGCUCUCCCACAGUCUCCGAGACACGUGAUCAAACGUGAUCCCACUUCUCCAGAACCCAUGAGUGCAAAUGUCUGUGGUGUUCUCAUUUGGUUUCAUUUGGACCAGUUUUGGGGUUCAGUUUUGGGGUACCAGUGUGCCCUGACAUCAGUGCCUCUCAGCAUGAUGCCAGCAAAGAGAAUUUUUCUACCAUUUCUUUCUCCUUGCAGCUCAAAUGCAGACUUACUUUUUUUUUUUUCUGGAGUUUAAAAUCACAAUGUAGAAAGUGUGUCAAAUGCACAACGAUGAAAAUAAACCAUCUGUGGUUCUACCUCUUGGAGAGAAUCAUAGCUGAAGUUCAUGUUGGUACACUUCCUUCUAGCUUUUUUCC
Molecule: long non-coding RNA, 493 nt
Filed under: Mustela putorius furo (domestic ferret)
Lineage: Eukaryota; Metazoa; Chordata; Mammalia; Carnivora; Mustelidae
Description: lncRNA (ENSMPUG00000024485.1)
Source: RNAcentral